RNAcentral lists this transfer RNA (55 nucleotides) under Gnathostoma spinigerum. Its description in RNAcentral is "tRNA-Leu". The record is from RNAcentral. Lineage: Eukaryota; Metazoa; Nematoda; Chromadorea; Rhabditida; Gnathostomatidae.
GUACAAAUAGUAUGAAAAUAUAUCAGAUUUAGGUUCUGAAGAGGGUAUUUGUAUU